AAAGAAACCUGAUGUGUUUUGGUUUUUAAUGAAAAAAGACAAUAACGCCCUUCCCUAAAACUCCGUUUAGCCCAUUGGAGUAUCAGGUACAGAAGAAAACCCCGUUUAACUAUUUGGAAGUGGAAGAUAAGAAUCUAAAAUUAUGUUCACUAAAUAUUUGUAUGUAGUUUCUUUACUCUCUUUUUUCAUGGAAAUCAUCCAUUAUGACCGCCAUCGCUUGUUGAUUGUGUAUGUACAGGAUCCGCACACUGGAGAUUUGGUGGUGUACCGGCACGACUUGGAGAGCCCCUCAUUCUUGGGGCAUUUCCCGCGGGAGCUUUGCCCUGGAUCGUCGCGAAUACAAGCACUGACUGGAUUUGUGAAU
RNAcentral lists this long non-coding RNA (364 nucleotides) under Brachypodium distachyon (stiff brome). Its description in RNAcentral is "long non-coding RNA (BDIS_LNC001489)". Lineage: Eukaryota; Viridiplantae; Streptophyta; Magnoliopsida; Poales; Poaceae. The record is from RNAcentral.